This is a long non-coding RNA of Malus domestica (apple), 1439 nucleotides long. RefSeq lists it as uncharacterized. The record is from RefSeq and is a predicted model, not a curated record. NCBI's taxonomy places the organism in Eukaryota, Viridiplantae, Streptophyta, Magnoliopsida, Rosales, Rosaceae.
AAUAGGUAAAAAAAAUCUUCCUUUUUCUCUUGCCGUUUCUCCUUGCCCUAGUUGCGAACGAGCCGCCACGCGAAGAGGAGUGCACGACACUGAAGAAAGAAGCCAAAGCUUCAAUUCCCAAUCGCGAGCAAAAAGAUUCGGAGAUAUAUUUGUGAACUCAGGUGCGAAAGGAAGCUACACAGCGCAUGCUUUAGCAAUUAGCAGCAAGAAAGAUGCUUCCUUGCCCUCAAUCUUGUGUUGUUUUCUUCAACAAUUACUUGGCUUUCUUUCACUCUCAAUCUUCAAACCCUAAACCCAAUGAAUCUACAAAUACCCAUCCCAAGAAGCAGCGGCUUGUCAGGGAGAGGAAUCCACCCACCAAGAUUGGUAAUCUCGAGGACGCUUUGAGUUUGUUCAAUGUGAGGCUUCGACUGCGCUCUCUGCCUUCUGUUGUCUGUUUCACCCAAAUUUUGGGUCAACUUGGGAAGGUGAAACGUUACUCGGCCGUGAUUUCUUUGUAUAACCAAAUGGGUUUGUUGGGAUUGUUCCUGAUGUUUAUAUUCUAGCUAUCAUCAUCAAUUGCUUUUGUCGUUUGAAGCGUGUGAUUUAGCUCAUCCGUCUUGGGAAAAUUCUUCAAAUUUGGUUUUGAACCAGAUGUCACGACCCUCAACACGUUUGAAGCGUGUGAUUUAGCUCAUCCGUCUUGGGAAAAUUCUUCAAAUUUGGUUUUGAACCAGAUGUCACGACCCUCAACACUUUAAUGCACGGGUUUCUUCUUGAGAAUGGAGUUUCUAAGGCAUCAUGACUUUUCAAAGAAAUGGUGGAGGGCAGGUUGUAAGCCAAUGUGAUCACUUUCAGCACACUUGUAAAGGGCUUUGGCAUGAUGGGUAACAGUUGUGCAGCUAUUCAGAUGCUCAGAAAAAUUGAUCAAAGAGGUUGUAAGCUCGACACCGUUGCCUAUAGCACGAUCAUCGACAGUAAGUAGUUGUCGACACAGUGAACAUCUUCUCAUAAAUUAUUAGUAUGGGUCUCCCCCAUAUACCAUUUUGUAUACCUCUUUGAUUCAUGGAUUUCGGAGAUUAGGCAAGUGGAAAGAAGCCACAAGUUGUUGAAUGAAAUGGUGACUAAAAAUAUAUUUCCAAGUGCACGCACCUUCAAUGUCUUGGUUGUGCAUUUUGUAAGUGGGUAUGGUUGUGGAAGCAAGGAGUGUGAUUGGAAUGAUGAUAAAGAGAUAUAUUGAGCCUGAUGUGGCAUCCGCCUUUGGUUGUCCGCUUUAAUCAACUAAUGAGUCCGCUUCCAAAGUUGAAACAUUAUUCGGCCGUUAUUUCUUUGUAUAACCAAAUGUGUCAAUUGAGAAAUUGUUCUUGAUGUUUAUUCACUGAACAUAUUAUUCUUAAUUGAUUUUGUUGUACGAACCAAAUGGGUUUUUAAUUUACUCAUUUUUGGCAAAAUUCUUCAAA